Molecule: long non-coding RNA, 2040 nt
Filed under: Mytilus galloprovincialis (Mediterranean mussel)
Lineage: Eukaryota; Metazoa; Mollusca; Bivalvia; Mytilida; Mytilidae
Source: RNAcentral
AAACCUGUGUCAAAAAUUUCAUGAUUUCUAUUCACUUUUACUAAAGUUAGAGUGCGAAAACUAAAAGUAUUCGGACGACGACGACGACGCAGACGACGACGCCAACGUGAUAGCAAUAUACGACAAAAAAUUAAAAUUUUUGUGGUUGUAUAAAAACAUACAAUAAUGCCAUUCUGUAACCAAUUUUACUUUAUCAAUUUUUUUAUAUUUUUUACAGAAUAAAAAUAUAAUUAUGAGUUUGAAAAUAUUAACAAUUUAACACAAAUUUUAAUUUCUGCCAUUACAAAUUACUGUACUCUUCUCUGAUAUACUUUGUAAAUGUGAACACAUGGUAACAGAGAAAAUGUCAAAUGAGAUCAUAGUCCUUAAAUGUACAAAUAUAAAACAAAAUAUUUCGUGCAUUCAAAUAAUAAAGAUUUAUACCACGUUCAACAAGCAGAAUUAUGAAAGUUAAAAUCAUUUCAGUUUAAGGAUGUUUGUUAUUCUGAAACAACAUUUCAUAAAUAAGUUUUGUUUGAACAGAAAAUGCACAAUAAAUCAAUAAAGAGAAUCAUAAAUACACAUGUAGAAAAGUCCAGGUUUAUUAAUACAAAAAAAAUAUGAAAAAUCUUGAUUUUUAGACAGGAGAUAUAUUUGCAGAAAUAAAAAGUUAACUAUAUAAAAAUUCUAAUAGAAAAAUAAGAAUUAGAAAUAUUUAGUUCUUUAACAAAUUAUUUGAGUUCUAUGUUUAAACGAAAAAUUUGACAAAUUUGGCUAGGAAAACUUCUUAGGAGAAUACAUUAAUAAGGAAAUGUUAAAAAGUAUAACAUCACCAAUCCUGGUGAAAUUUUCAAUCAUUUUUGGCAGGUAAGAGACAGUUUUUCUACUUUGGAUUUAUCAUAAAAGAACAAUAAAUUUGUGGUGAUACAAAGCCAGGGUCUGUGACAAGCAUUAGGUGUAUGGCACAAAUUACUUGUUGUACAAAUGUCUAUUAUAUAUAGUUAUUGUCAGUUUUACACACUAAUUAAUUCAGUUUCAGUAUUGGCAGUUCUGAGGAUUUAUUAUUUUUCUAGUGAUUCUAAUUUUCAUGGGUAAAGGCAAACAUCAAUUAAGUUCUCAUCAAAAAACAACAUAUCAGUUGCUUGGAUCAAAUUACAAAAUCAGGAAGAAAGUAUCCUUGAAAAUGCAACAUUUUGUUAAAUUAUAAAGUAGUAUCAACAAAAAUAUAGUAUGCGACUGAAUUAUUUUUAUCUGUUAUAAAUCUUAUGUAUAACUGUACAAAAUUUUGUUCUGAACAGGAUAAACACUAAAAACUAUCAACCAGGACAGGCAAAGGGACAUAACCCCAUAAAGAAUCAUGUAAUACAAUGAGAGAUGAAUUCUCUUUAAUGCGGUUAUAAGUCAGUCAUUAAUGACGAAUAUUUUUGGUAUGUAAUGGUACAUAUCAUUAAACAUAUAAUGCCAUUUAAAACAUUUUUUUUAAAGCCUGUAAAAAUAUCCUUAGUGAUAUGUAUCAAAAUAUCAAAGUGACAAGUUCAAAAUAGGCCAUUUUCCAGUUAUAAAUAUAAGUUAAAGAAACUUUUUUCAUGUUUUAGUGAAUAAUAUUAAUACAAGUAAAUUUGUUUAGCUUGUUAAUCAAUGCCAUCAUUUCUAAAAUCAAAGAGCUGAAUAGCUCUGAGGGGAAAGACGGCCCUUGUUUCUAUUUAAUUAUUUUUUUUGGAAGGGGGGGUAUCUUUUGAUAGUCUUCAUAUAAAGAAUGGAAAAAAGAACAGCUAGAACAUGUAGAAAGGUUGACGAUAUUGAAAUCAAUUGUUGUUUAAUGUAAUUUCGUUUCCUUAGUUUAGGAUUCAAUUUGGACCAAUGGAAGAGAUCUGCAUCUUCUAAAUCUAAACAUAUGAUUAAAGUUGAUAUUUAAUUAUCUAAAUUUCAACUGAAUUCUGUCAUUUCACAACAACUACAAUAUUUUUUGAAAUCUUAAUUGUGUACCACUGAACUGCAGGCUAGGGCCAUUUUCCAUUUUUUGUGACAGUACUCUUAGAUUUUAAGUUUUUUUUAAGAAAG